Molecule: long non-coding RNA, 884 nt
Organism: Sapajus apella (tufted capuchin)
Lineage: Eukaryota; Metazoa; Chordata; Mammalia; Primates; Cebidae
Exons: 2
Source: RefSeq, a predicted model, not a curated record
AUGGAAAUUUCCAAUUGCAGCAUCAAGGGCUGCUGUUCUGCUGACUGUCUUGCUCAGCCGGGGUCAUCUGCUUCUCUAAGACAUCAAGGAAUGCCAAGGUUAUGAACCAUAGUGAUUGAGAGCAUCUGCAGCAGUCCUUGGUGCCUAGUACUGAGCCUUGUAUUAGAAAGGAUGCCACAUCAGUUCAAAGGAUGACAGCCAUCUAUCUGGUUGCAAAAACAGGGUACUCCACCUCCCCCACACCCCAAAGGAUGUACGAGAGGUACACAAGGCAACUCUUGGAGCAAAGAUGGGGCCAGCCGAGGUGGAGCAGUUUCUCUCUCAUGUAGAAACCAACUAAAAGGAGAAGGGAGAGGGAAGAUCUGUUUUUCACAGCAGCACAGACUUCUGCCUUGAUCUUUUAGCAAACUUAGGAAGGUUCCGACAUCUUUAAGCCUGGGAAGAUACAGUGUUUUAAUUUGAUGACCAGCAAACCAAAGGUCAAUCUGAGAAAGUUGAUUCUUGACAUAUUUCCAACAAGGGUCACUUGUUUCAUCCCAACGGACUCCAAGUUAAGAAUUAAAAACCUCAACUGUAGUAAAUUACAUGUUUGAAAAACUGAGAGUUCUAAUUACACACACAUCCCAAAUGCCAGCGGGGCCCACUCUAUUCAUGUUCUCAUAGCUUUAUGAAAAACUGUUUGUUUGGAAUGUGGUUUUUAAAAGUAAUUUACCUUCAGGUUUAGUUGAAGAAUGGAAUAUGUGAGAAAAGAAUUUUCCAACUUCUCUUGACUCAGCGAUGAAAAGGAAAAUAUGUUUAUACGAAUAUGGCUGCUUGUUGAUCUAAGACAUUUGAAAUUUCACAUGCUAAAUGCUAAAUCCACUUAUAAAUUUCAAACAUAAUUU